GCUGUGGGCACAGGACAGGACAGGAUAUGCUCGUGGGUGCAGAGACUCUCUCUCCUGAGGAUGGAUGCGUCUCUCAGAAUGGGUCUGGUGCCAACUGGGGACCACAAACUCUUUUUUGUGGGAACUGCAGUAUCCUAGGAGUAGAACUAAAUUGCCUUGACUCUGCUAUGAUGAAUCUAAGGAGGAGCUCAUACACUCAGCACAGAAAGGGCAAUCUUUGGAACCAGUGGAGGUCUUGUAGUCAAGUUAUGAAAUGAAGAAACCGCAGCUGGAUCUGGAUCUACAUCAUGGGGCUUUAAUCAGAAGGCAGGUUGGUGAAGUGGUCACUUCCUGUACAAUAAGCUGAUUGACCGUCUGAUUAGAAAUUUUUUGGCUUUGAUUUUGGAGGAUCAGAGUAAGCAGGGGCAACUGUGGCCAGAAUGAGGGUCAAGAACAG
This is a long non-coding RNA of Fukomys damarensis (Damara mole-rat), 436 nucleotides long. RefSeq lists it as uncharacterized. NCBI's taxonomy places the organism in Eukaryota, Metazoa, Chordata, Mammalia, Rodentia, Bathyergidae. The record is from RefSeq and is a predicted model, not a curated record. The transcript has 3 exons.